Molecule: ribosomal RNA, 277 nt
Filed under: uncultured bacterium
Lineage: Bacteria
Description: partial 16S ribosomal RNA
Rfam family: Bacterial small subunit ribosomal RNA
Source: RNAcentral
GACGAACGCUGGCGGCGUGCUUAACACAUGCAAGUCGAGCGGUAAGGCCCUUCGGGGUACACGAGCGGCGAACGGGUGAGUAACACGUGGGUGACCUGCCUCUAGCUCUGGGAUAAGCCUGGGAAACUGGGUCUAAUACCGGAUAUGACUCCACGGCGCAUGUUGUGGGGUGGAAAGCCUUGUGUGGCUAGAGAUGGGCCCGCGGCCUAUCAGCUUGUUGGUGGGGUGAUGGCCUACCAAGGCGACGACGGGUAGCCGGCCUGAGAGGGCGACCGGC